UAUUUGUGAAGGUGGGAAGGUGAAUGAGGUACCUGUAAUAAGAAUUUACGGCUCUACUCAGGCCGGUCAGAAAGCUUGUCUGCACAUUCACAGAGCAUUACCAUACCUAUUUGUGCCGUGCAAAGAUAUACCGAUUCAACCACAUCAGAAAGGUGAUUCGUACACAUAUGAUAUAUCUCUUGCAUUAGAGAAAGCUUUGAAGGUAUGGGUCAUUGCUGUAGAGAGGGUGCUCUCUGCAAUAAUGUUGUAUAUGUG
Molecule: long non-coding RNA, 255 nt
Organism: Rosa chinensis
Lineage: Eukaryota; Viridiplantae; Streptophyta; Magnoliopsida; Rosales; Rosaceae
Exons: 3
Source: RefSeq, a predicted model, not a curated record